This 2882-nucleotide ribosomal RNA is filed under the name Phaeocystis globosa. RNAcentral's name for it is "16S ribosomal RNA". It matches the Rfam family "Bacterial large subunit ribosomal RNA". The record is from RNAcentral. Lineage: Eukaryota; Haptophyta; Phaeocystales; Phaeocystaceae.
UCAAGCGAUUAAGAGCUUACGACGGAUACCUUGGUGUUCAGAAGCGAUGAAGGGCGUGGCUACCAACGAAAUGUUUCGGGGAACUGGAAGCAAGUUUUGAUCCGAAAAUACCCGAAUAAGGAAACUUCGAGAACUACUUCUUGAAUUAAAUAGAGAAGAAAGAGCAAACCUAGUGAAUUGAAACAUCUUAGUAACUAGAGGAAAAGAAAGCAAAAGCGAUUCUCUUAGUAGCGGCGAGCGAAACGGGACCAGUCUAAACUUUAUAUAACUAUAAAGGGUUGUGGGACAGCUUAUUGUAAAGUGUGAUUGUUAGAUGAAGCAGAAUGAAUGCUGCGCCAUAGUAGGUGAAAGUCCUGUAGUCGAAAACUUAUACAUUUUAAAGCUUCAUCCCAAGUAGGGAGGGACACGUGAAACCCCUUUUGAAUUUGCGAGGACCACCUCGUAAGACUAAAUAUUCCUGAAUAACCGAUAGUGAACCAGUACCGUGAGGGAAAGGUGAAAAGAACCCCGGGAGGGGAGUGAAAUAGAACAUGAAAUCGUAAGUUUACAAGCAGUAGAAGAGCGACUUAACGCUCGACUUCGUGCCUGUUGAAGAAUGAGCUGGCGACUUGUAGGUUGUGGCAAGAUUAAGAUAAGAAAAUAUCGAAGUCAUAGUGAAAGCGAGCCUGAAUAGGGCUUUAAGUCACAAUUUACAGACCCGAACCCGGAUGAUCUAACCAUGGCCAGUGUGAAGCUUAGGUAACACUAAGUGGAGGUACCAACCGACUGUUGUUGAAAAAACAGCGGAUGAGUUGUGGUUAGGGGUGAAAUUCCAAUCGAAUCCGGAGCUAGCUGGAUCUCCCCGAAAUGCGUUGAGGCGCAGCGGUUAAUGUUUUUUCUUAGGGGUAAAGCUACUGUUUUGGUGCGGGCUGCGAGAGUGGUACCAAAUCAAGGCAAACUCUGAAUACUAAGACAUUUAGUUAACCAGUGAGACGUUGGGGGAUAAGCUUCAAUGUCAAGAGGGAAACAGCCCAGAUUACUAGUUAAGGCCCCUAAAUAAUUGCUAAGUGGUAAAGGAGGUGGGAUUGCAUAGACAAUCAGGAGGUUUGCCCAGAAGCAGCAAUCCUUUAAAGAGUGCGUAAUAGCUCACUGUUCGAGUGAUCCUGCGCCGAAAAUGACUGGGACUAAGCAAUUUGCCGAAACUGUAAGAUGUUUAAACAUCGGUAGGGGAGCGUUCUACAUUAGUGAGAAGAAUUAACGAAAGUGGGUUUGGACAAAGUAGAAGUGAGAAUGUCAGCUUGAGUAGCGAAAACAUUGGUGAGAAUCCAAUGCCCCGAAAACCUAAGGGUUCCUCCGGAAGGCUCGUCCGCGGAGGGUGAGUCAGGUCCUAAGGUAAGGCUGAAAAGCGUAGUCGAUGGAUAACAGGUUAAUAUUCCUGUACUGUUUAUUGUUGGUAAAGGGGGACGGAGAAGGCUAGGUCGACCGAAUGUUGGUUAUCGGCUUAAGUAUUCGAGGUGUUGAGAAGCGGUGAAAACGUUUUGAGCUGAGAUAUGAAUAGGAGGUGCUAAGGCACUGAACCGACUGAUGUCAUACUUCCAAGAAAAGCCCUAACUACCAUAAGCAAUAAAUACCUGUACCCUAAACCGACACAGGUGGGUAAGUAGAGUAUACUAAGGGGCGCGAGAUAACUCUCUCUAAGGAACUCGGCAAAAUAGCCUCGUAACUUCGGGAGAAGAGGUACCCUUUAUGGGUUGCAAGAACCAGACGCUGGCGACUGUUUAUCAAAAACACAGGUCUCCGCAAAGUCGUAAGACGAUAUAUGGGGGCUGACACCUGCCCAGUGCCGGAAGGUUAAGGGAGCUUGUUAGUCUUUGACGAAGCUCGUGACCGAAGCCCCGGUGAACGGCGGCCGUAACUAUAACGGUCCUAAGGUAGCGAAAUUCCUUGUCGGGUAAGUUCCGACCCGCACGAAAGGUGUAACGAUCUGCGUACUGUCUCGGAGAGAGACUCGGCGAAAUAGACUUGUCUGUGAAGAUGCGGACUACCUGCACCUGGACAAAAAGACCCUAUGAAGCUUUACUGUAGCUUGAUAUUGGCUCCGGGCUUUGUUUGCGCAGGAUAGGUGGGAGGCGUUGACAAUUUUCUUGCGGGAAGAUUUGAGCCGUUGGUGAGAUACCACUCUAACAAUGCUAGGAUUCUAACCCUAUGUCGUUAUCCGGCUAGGGGACAGUUUCAGGUGGUCAGUUUGACUGGGGCGGUCGCCUCCUAAAAGGUAACGGAGGCGUGCAAAGGUUCCCUCAGGCUGGUUGGAAAUCAGUCGUAGAGUGUAAAGGCAUAAGGGAGCUUGAUUGUGAGACAUACAAGUCGAACAAAGACGAAAGUCGGCCUUAGUGAUCCGGCGGUACCGAGUGGAAGGGCCGUCGCUCAACGGAUAAAAGUUACUCUAGGGAUAACAGGCUGAUCUCCCCCAAGAGUUCAUAUCGACGGGGAGGUUUGGCACCUCGAUGUCGGCUCGUCGCAUCCUGGGGCGGUAGUACGUCCCAAGGGUUGGGCUGUUCGCCCAUGAAAGCGGCACGCGAGCUGGGUUCAGAACGUCGUGAGACAGUUCGGUCCAUAUCCGGUGUAGGCGUUAGAGUAUUGCGAGGAUCUCUUCUUAGUACGAGAGGACCGGAAGAGACGUACCUCUGGUGUGCCAGUUAUCGUGCCAACGGUAGACGCUGGGUAGCCAUGUACGGUUAGGAUAACCGCUGAAAGCAUCUAAGUGGGAAGCCAGCCUCAAGAUGAGUACUCUUACCAUAAAAAAUGGUUAAGGUCACGGCAAGACUAGCCGUUUGAUAGGUACCAAGUGUACGUACAGUAAUGUAUUUAGCUGAGGUAUCCUAAUAGACCGAAUGCUUGACUUA